AUGAAAGUUCAUCUAUGAUACAGAAGUUCAGGGAAAAUUUGCAAGACAAAAUGCAAUCUGCUGUCCACUGGGAUUGGUGUGUUGUGAGCUGUCAGUAGACUAAUCAUAACCAUUACAAAUCUACUCUGAAAUGUUAAAAUAGGAAAAAACAAAGCAAAACAAAACAAAACAAAAAAAACAGAGCUAGAAGGUCUGAUUCCUAUAGGCUGAUGAAAAGAAUUGGGUGCUGGCUUUUUUUGUGUGUGUGUUAACAUAACACAUGUUGCAAUGCAGAAAAUUACAGAGCAGGUGGAAGAUCAGGAGUGCAUAGAAACUUUGAGCAUGUUUCACUUCCCUGCUCCUUAGUUAGGGGUUAAUGCAACACUGCUAAAUUGAUUCUGCCAGAUUUUUCUAUUCCCCUAAUCCAGGAGAAAUGUAACUCACAAACUAUACCUUAUUUGUUUCUUUGCUUUUUUGUUUGCUUUCCUCAUGCUGCUUCUUCACUUAUAUGUUGCUCCGGAGUUACUCAAAUAAUAAAUGGAAUAUUGAUCCCUAUGGAAAUCAUUAGUUUGUUACACUAUUAGAUUGUUACACUAUGUUUUGAGGGUUAUGGAAAUUUUCCGAAAUAGAAAAAUCAUUUUCUUGCUAUUCUUAGUGUGAAAGUGCCUUAAUAUUCCACUGUGAUAUAUAUGCUUGUGUUUUUGUUUGUCCGUUUCCUUAUCCCUUAGUAAUAUAAUUUAAACAUAUUGGCCCCGGUUAAACCAAAUGAAAAAUGAGAGCAAUUAAAAAAACAUAACAAAGAAAAGUGCAUAGAGGACAGUGAGGCAUAUUAUUACCCCAGUGAUGAGGAACUUGCAGAAUUUGCUCAGCUCUUAUUAGAGCUGUUAGAGAGACCACACAAGGAUUCUAGAAAUGUGUAAUUGUACAAAAAAUCGGCUGCUGAAACUCACACUGUGUUAAACAUAAGGGAAUUAAGCUGACAGGUGCGAAUCAUACAACUGGAAAGAAGCAAGUUUUCUUUAAUUCUACUACUCAUGGAACAAACUGUUUUCUGUGAUUUAAGCCCGAUCCCCAUAAAUGUGAAUAGUUUGAAUUGCUUUCAAAAUAAAUCCUAGUUCUUUGACUCCUGUUCUGCAAUGCUUGCUUGAUGGUAUUCCCCACUAAUCAAGCUUUUUUUCCCACCGGAUAGUUUUCUAAAACAGUUGUUCCAGGACAGCCUUCAGGUAGCAAACUAGAAAGAGCUAAGAAGAUAACUUGAUAAAAGGCUAAGGGAAAAACUUCCGUAGGUUUAAAAAAGAAGCUGUAUUUCUAUUAGGGUAUGUUUUUAUUUAUUUUCUUUUUUACUAAUACCAGUUUUUGACUCCAGGCUAAAUUUUAAAAAUUAGUCCCAUAUGUAGUACUGAAGCAACUUUUUGCAACAAAAAAAAUUCUAAUGAAAAAAUAAAUAAUGUACUGCAUAAUUGUGUACCCAGUUAGCAUUAAUAAAGCAUCAUGUGUGCAAUUUUUCGAACUAAAAGUAGCGCUGUGGUUGUCACGUAUUACUGUACACAUAGUUUGAUUGUCGCAGAGUAGACAUCUGCCAGAAACAUUUCAGUUUAGCAUGAUGAGCAUACCGUAACCCUGUCAAAAAUCCCAUAACAAUGCUGAAGUGUUGCUUUGAAUAUGGGUUGAAAAACAGAAAUAAGUGUAUUGAAGAAGGUUUUCAAAUUCUCUCCGAAUCCAGUCAUUACUGGUGCAGUGGCCAGGCAUGUAGGAAUGCUGCUGCUCCAUGGGGGAUUCCUGGGAAGUGAACAUUACUUAGUUAAUCAGGGUAGUGAAAGAAAAGACACUGUUAUAGAUGGUAGGUGCUCCAAGAAGGCUCUCAGCCCCGCAGCAAGGAUGCGAGCACACUAAGGGCAUGCCAUUUACACAACAGUGUAAAGAUUUUUGUAGUAUCAUUGUUGAAGACUCCUCUUAAAAGUAAAAUGGCGAGGGUAUAAUUUGUUUGUUUGUGAUGUCUUCUGCGGUGAUGUUAUUCUAGAUGCCUAAUUUUUUACGAACUAUAUAUGGAACACUGUGAACAGUGCUGCUUGGUUUAAUAUACUCGAAUCCUUUUUUUCUGAGUUAUUUGGGCCCAGUUCUGAGUUCAAUAGAAGACACAGUCUGGGAAAGCACAUGCUGUCCAGAGGCUUAAUGGCAAUUCUCUAGGAUCCUGACAUUUCAAGAAAUAGCGUAUCAAGAAUGGUAAGUACUCUUACAUCUUUGAUAAAAGAUUUCUCAAUGUGGUAUGUGGCUUAAAUAAAUGUAGGCUAUCUCACUUUUUUUCUCAGGUUACAUCUGUUUGUAUUUUCAGCAGAAGCCAAAGGAGUUCCUGCACAUUUCAAACAGAAGAUAAUAUAUGAUCCUGGGAUGUAUCUUCAUAGGCCCACUGCCCACCUGUAUGAGUAUUUUUAUAGUCUUCAGCCAACCCUGAGCCAGCAGUUUUCCACCUUUCUGUCAAAAACAUUUUUUGAGUAAACAUUGCAAGACAAAAGUAUGUUUGACUAGAGUCACUCAAGCUCCAUCUGAAGAGGUAAAUUACGUCUUCAUUGUGAAAUGACAAAGCACCCACUAAACUGAGCUGUAGUGGUUGAAGCCUGGUAAGUUUAUUCCUGAUCAUGCAGAAUGAUGAUGUGGGACUUGAUUUUUAUCAGAAAUGCUUAUAGAGUAAACUCAUGUGAAUCUGUGUAAGUGUUCAGGAAGAAAUUAAGGGUAACAGAAAUGUAG
This is a long non-coding RNA of Gallus gallus (chicken), 2724 nucleotides long. The record is from Ensembl. Lineage: Eukaryota; Metazoa; Chordata; Aves; Galliformes; Phasianidae.